CUCAGCAUUUAGAUUUUAGUAUUGUAAUUAAGUCAAGAAAUCAUGUUCUUGCAUUUCUGCGCAGAUUGAAUUUGACACUAUAUUAGACUCUUACCAAGUUACAUUUGACUGAUAUCAUUGAUGACAACAUAAGGUUUUGGCUCUGUGAAACAACUUUCUCUAUUGUCAACAUAUGGCAACUUUACUGGAGAGAAGCAUCAGAUGUUACUUUAGGAAAAAUGAAAUCGAAAAAUGUACAAAUGUGUCUAAUCAAAGCCUCAUUAUGCCAGAUAUGAGAAAGAACGACACAUCAAGUUAAAUCAAAUAAUGAUUAGUGAAACAACUGGUGGGUUAGGGACUGAUCACUGUAACGUAGAAAGGGAAGGUUGUCUAACUGUGCAAUAGAGACUUUAGCUCGACUGAAAAACGUUAUGUUGUGUUGUAGGUCUCUGUAUCAGGUGUUUGUCUCUCUCUCACACCGGAGUCUCAAUAACUGACUGUAGGUGUACAACUAGGCUACAGUAUAACCCACCCACACUCAUCACCAUAGUAAAAAUAGGAUCAGCAUUAAUAAUCAUUUAUUACAUUUCUAUAGCUCUUUUCAUAGAAUCAUAGAGCGAAAAACAAACAAGCAAUAUAUCAUGGCAGGUAAACCAGUAGACGCCAGGUAAACCAGUAGAGGCCAGGUCAACCAGUAGAGGCCGGGUCAACCAGUAGAGGCCGGGUCAACCAGUAGAGGCCGGGUCAACCAGUAGAGUCCAGGUCAACCAAUAGAGGCCAUGUUUUUGAAAGCUGUAUCCUCUGAAGAUAGAGAGGGUCAGUUCAUGGCUUGAGGCGAGGGAGCUGGUCAGGGGAUGGUAGAUGGUGAUUGGUUGUCUCAUAAUAAUAGGCCCUGUACUCCAUGCCUUCUGCCUCUGGACCUCUCAGUGGAGGAAAAUAAACAGCCAGUGAUCAAAUUAAUAUAAUCUUAUGUAAAUGAGGAUUUUAAUAAUCCCAUCUGCAUUAUCCAUCUACAUUAUCAUUAUCAGUGUGAUCAGAGAAGCCAAUUGGCCCACUAUAAACUGCCUUGGGAAGAGAGGAGAGGAGGAUGACAGGAUGAGAUAACAGUCUAAAUAUAGCAAGCUGAAGCUUCCUCAAGGCAUCAUAAAACCCAUGAUUACACCAACAUAAUUAACAACAGAUUAUUAUUAAAAACUGCACAUGGAAUACCAGAAGUACAGUAUAAUUCACACAAUAGAAAAAACAUGACCGAUUGGUUGGUUUUCCAAAGGUCAUGUUAAGAUGAUGACUGACAUGGGAGAUUAUCUAGCAAUUUCCUGUGACUGAAUGGUUGGUAGAAAAUGGUUUUAAAAACGUUACAUUCUUCUCAGAGCCUUUAAAGAGUUCCAAUGGUAGAAGGAGGUAAUGUCAGGUGGAUGGCUGGAUCUGAUGUUAUCCCAAUGUUGUGUUUUGGUUGUAUCAACGUUGUAUCAAUAUUGUACCAACCCAACCCAAACAAGAUGUAAAAACCCCAGAGCUUGAAUUACCAGUAGGCCAUAUAUAGCAAUGACUUUCAGUGUUUGUUUUUCUAGAUGAAAAGGGAAACGAUCAUUUUGGCAAAAUUCCAUUCCCCCCCAUCAUUCAUUGCUUUUCUCGAUUCCUUUUUUGUCAUCCAAGGGAGGGCAGGUGUGUAUGUGUCUGUGUGUGGGACAGAAAUGUAAAACAAAAGAUUUUCCCACAAAUCUUCCUGUUUGUUUCUGUAUAAUUUCCCACACUUAUACUGGAAACAAAAAUGUGUCCUUAGGACUUCCUGGGAACAUCACGAAAUGGUCGUCAAGACAUUGUGUCAUGGUCCUGUGGAGGUUUUGUUUAGUUCCCCGGUUGCCAGAACCAAACAGGAACCUGUUCAUAAAGUUCCCUUGUG
This 1882-nucleotide long non-coding RNA is filed under the name Salmo salar (Atlantic salmon). RNAcentral describes it as "lncRNA (ENSSSAG00000122047.1)". Lineage: Eukaryota; Metazoa; Chordata; Actinopteri; Salmoniformes; Salmonidae. The record is from RNAcentral.